This 408-nucleotide ribosomal RNA is filed under the name uncultured bacterium. Its description in RNAcentral is "partial 16S ribosomal RNA". It matches the Rfam family "Bacterial small subunit ribosomal RNA", at positions 28 to 526 of the family's 1533-position model. The record is from RNAcentral.
GACGAACGCUGGCGGCGUGCUUAACACAUGCAAGUCGAACGGGGUGGCGAACGGGUGAGUAAUACGUGAGUAACCUGCUCUCCUUUUUGGGGUAAUAAUUGGUAACGGGGUCUACUACUACAUAGAGGGGGAUGGGCCCGCGGCCUAUUAGCUGGUUGGUGGGGUGAGGGCCUAACAAGGCGGUGACGGGUAGCCGGCCUGGGAGGGUGACCGGGGACAUUGGUACCGGGCUACGGCCCAGACGCGUACGGGAGGCAGCAGUGGGGGAUAUUGGACAAAGGGCGAAAGCAUGAUGCAGGGGCGUCGCGUGUGGGAUGAAGGCUUGCGGGUUGUAAACCUCUUGCGCUAUCGAACGGGUAGGUGGAGAAGAAGCGCCGGCUAACUACGUGCCAGCAGCCGCGGUAAUAC